This 468-nucleotide ribosomal RNA is filed under the name uncultured bacterium. Its description in RNAcentral is "partial 16S ribosomal RNA". It matches the Rfam family "Bacterial small subunit ribosomal RNA", at positions 28 to 507 of the family's 1533-position model. The record is from RNAcentral.
GACGAACGCUGGCGGCGUGCUUAACACAUGCAAGUCGAACGGAAAGGCCCUGCUUUUGUGGGGUGCUCGAGUGGCGAACGGGUGAGUAACAUGUGAGUAACCUGCCCUUGACUUUGGGAUAACUGCAGGAAACUGGGGCUAACACCGGCUAGGAGCUCCUGCUGCAUGGUGGGGGUUGGAAAGUUUAGGCGGUUGGGGAUGGACUCGCGGGUUAUCAGCUUGUUGGUGGGGUAGUGGCCUACCAAGGGUUUGACUGGUAGCCGGCCUGAGAGGGUGAACGGCCUCAUUGGGACUGAGGUACGGCCCAGAGUCCAACGGGGGGCAGAAGUGGGGAAUAUUGCACAAUGGGCGGAAGCCUGUUGCAGAAACGCCGCGUGCGGGAUGACGGCCUUCGGGUUGGAAACCGCUUUCGCCUGUGACGAAGCGUGAGUGACGGUAAUGGGUAAAGAAGCACCGGCUAACUACGUG